Molecule: long non-coding RNA, 309 nt
Organism: Hyposmocoma kahamanoa
Lineage: Eukaryota; Metazoa; Arthropoda; Insecta; Lepidoptera; Cosmopterigidae
Exons: 3
Source: RefSeq, a predicted model, not a curated record
CGAGCCCGCAAGACGCCGCUACCGCCGAGCGCAGCGCCGCGACGGUUGACGUGCUCGUCAAGCUGGGGGACUACGGAAUCAGCCGCCUGGCGCCACCUUCGGGAACCAAGGGUUUCGGAGGCACCGAGGGCUUCAUGGCGCCGGAGAUCAUGCGUUACAACGGGGAAGAAGAAUACAACGAGAAGGUUGACUGCUUCUCAUACGGUAUGCUGCUGUACGAGAUCGUGACGUUGCGCCAGCCGUUCGAGGGCCACGAGGCUGUCAAGGAAGCUGUCCUGGACGGCGCCAGGCCCACUCUUUCACCACGGG